Molecule: ribosomal RNA, 254 nt
Filed under: uncultured bacterium
Lineage: Bacteria
Description: partial 16S ribosomal RNA
Rfam family: Bacterial small subunit ribosomal RNA
Source: RNAcentral
UACGUAGGGGGCGAGCGUUGUCCGGAUUCAUUGGGCGUAAAGAGCUCGUAGGCGGUUCGGUAAGUCAGGUGUGAAAACUCCAGGCUCAACUUGGAGACGCCACCUGAUACUGUCGUGACUAGAGUCCGGUAGGGGAGCAUGGAAUUCCUGGUGUAGCGGUGAAAUGCGCAGAUAUCAGGAGGAACACCAGCGGCGAAGGCGGUGCUCUGGGCCGGAACUGACGCUGAGACGCGAAAGCGUGGGGAGCAAACAGG